UCUAAAAGUUUGGAAAACAUAUUUGGAGGAAUAAUAGAGGAAAACUUCCCCAGCCUUGCUAGAGACCUAGACACCCAAAUACAAGCAGCACAAAGAACAUCUGAGAAAUCAUCGCAAAAUAUCAUUGCCUAGCCA
Long non-coding RNA from Nomascus leucogenys (northern white-cheeked gibbon), 135 nucleotides. RefSeq lists it as uncharacterized. The record is from RefSeq and is a predicted model, not a curated record. The transcript has 3 exons. Lineage: Eukaryota; Metazoa; Chordata; Mammalia; Primates; Hylobatidae.